RNAcentral lists this ribosomal RNA (253 nucleotides) under uncultured bacterium. RNAcentral's name for it is "partial 16S ribosomal RNA". It matches the Rfam family "Bacterial small subunit ribosomal RNA", at positions 524 to 776 of the family's 1533-position model. The record is from RNAcentral.
UACGAAGGGGGCUAGCGUUGCUCGGAAUCACUGGGCGUAAAGCGCACGUAGGCGGGUCUUUAAGUCAGGGGUGAAAUCCUGGAGCUCAACUCCAGAACUGCCUUUGAUACUGAGGAUCUCGAGUCCGGGAGAGGUGAGUGGAACUCCGAGUGUAGAGGUGAAAUUCGUAGAUAUUCGGAAGAACACCAGUGGCGAAGGCGGCUCACUGGCCCGGAACUGACGCUGAGACGCGAAAGCGUGGGGAGCAAACAGG